GUCUAUGGCCAUGUCACCCAGAAUGCGCCCGGUCUAGUCUGACCUCAGAAGCUAAGCAGGGUUGGGCCUGGUUAGCACUUGGAUGGGAGACCACCUAGGAAUACCAGAUGCUGUAGGCA
RNAcentral lists this ribosomal RNA (119 nucleotides) under Pteropus alecto (black flying fox). Lineage: Eukaryota; Metazoa; Chordata; Mammalia; Chiroptera; Pteropodidae. The record is from RNAcentral.